AGAGACCCUGCAAACUCAUAUGAAGAAUCAGAAGGGGAUUCUGCUAACUGAAAUGGAGCGUGAGAAUGAGAGACUGCAAUCUGAACUGGCGAAACAGAAAGGUCAGUGUCUGUGAUCCACAAAACCCCACUUGGCUGACGCCUAAUCCUGUAGGCAUCUAAAC
Molecule: long non-coding RNA, 163 nt
Organism: Mauremys mutica (yellowpond turtle)
Lineage: Eukaryota; Metazoa; Chordata; Testudines; Geoemydidae
Exons: 3
Source: RefSeq, a predicted model, not a curated record